GGAUGUGAGGGCGAUAUAUCUGGCUGCAGUGUCUGUCACCCCAUUGAUCACCAGGGCUGAUUUGGCUGUUCUGGCUGGCUAGGCAGGUCCCCCUUCCUCCCUCACCAUUCCAAGUGCAUCCCUCCCUAAGCUGUGUGCUCUAAAUAGAGAACAACCUUCCCCUAAUAGAGAGGGACAGGUCUUUGGUCAAGUGUAUACAAGUAGCUGUGCUCCCCUGCUAGGACCUCCAAACAAGCUCUCAAGAUACAUUUCUAUACGGGUGCACAAAAUGUGUAUUCCUAGUUAAAGAGUGUAGAAUGCAUAUGAAAAUAUAAAUGUUCCACAGAUAUAAUAUUGCUUUUAU
Molecule: small nuclear RNA, 343 nt
Filed under: Microtus ochrogaster (prairie vole)
Lineage: Eukaryota; Metazoa; Chordata; Mammalia; Rodentia; Cricetidae
Description: 7SK RNA (ENSMOCG00000003384.1)
Rfam family: 7SK RNA
About the family: 7SK was discovered as an abundant small nuclear RNA in the mid-70s but a possible function has only recently been suggested.
Source: RNAcentral